Molecule: long non-coding RNA, 668 nt
Filed under: Fukomys damarensis (Damara mole-rat)
Lineage: Eukaryota; Metazoa; Chordata; Mammalia; Rodentia; Bathyergidae
Description: lncRNA (ENSFDAG00000026353.1)
Source: RNAcentral
UCAUGUUACUGUUUUUAUAAAAUCAGAAUUGAGGGGGAACGGUUAGCUUGCGGGAGGCAGCCGUAAGUCAUGUGACCGGAAGUGCUCUUGACGGACGCAGUCUCUCCUCUGCUCGGCCUGAGUGCCCGGCCCUACCCCAGCAAAUGGGUGCUGCUAUAGCAGCGAAAACGAAGACUUGGACCAGCUGUUGAGCAUUUAUGGAUGAUUUGUGGUGUGGAAGCUCACAGUGGGGAAUCGACAAGACAGUCCUUCAUAUCCACAGCCUGAAAGCGCUCUCCUCUGCUGCUACAGUGACAAAUAUACCAAGUGCGGGAAGAUUUAGCUGCCUGUUUAUCCACCUGCCUGUGGUGACCAUGUGGACGUCACUUUGCCUUUGCCUCAAUUUGGAAUACAUGCUGGACUCUUCCACCCCAGGAGCAGGAGACAGCCACUUUGAACAGUGUCCAGGUAUGUAAUGUUCUCUCCCCAGCUCCUCCCCGUGGCUGAUCUGUACCUGCUAUCCACAGUUAUCUCCUGGUGACCACCUUCCUAUGAGACAGCUAAACUCAGGCUAUUUGACUGACCCUAUGACUCCAUGCCCUGCAUGGACAACAGAUAGGCCAGACACUGCCUUUUUCUCACAGUGUGAUGAUCUCCUGGAACUUGUUUCUACUCUAUUAAGCCCACCG